CACAACACAGUGGGUCUGCCAUUGCCCGUAUCACCCAGCUCUUCAUAGUCAUGAAGGUUGGGUCCCAUCUUGUUUGAGGAAAUUGAGCACAGGAAUGGGCUUUGAGGACGAAUGGAUUUCUUCUCUCGUGUGGUUUCCUGACAGAAGAGAUUUAGGAGAACAUUAGCUUCCAAUUCUGAAUGCCUUUGGAAAGAUCCACAAGUUGACAGAGGGGCCAGUUAGUAAGUCAUGGCUGCAGAAGUCACCAUGUACAGGAUGCCACACGUGUCAGGGCUCCUUCAGAUGCGGUAGGACGCACGAUUCCGCUCCAGGAAAUAAUCGCAGAAGAGCGAUUCAUUCUCAGCUGGUUUAAUUUGCAGACACGUAGCAGAAUUCCAGCAUCUUGUGCCUGGCAGACAGUGAACACAGAUGUGUGUGCCCUUCCCACUUUUCACGCGUUUACUCUACUCCCCAGGCCAACAGUGGCAGGCACCAAACUACAUGCAAAAGGGCAUGUUCUUCUUGAGAUGCAACAGUGUCAGACAUGGUUUCUGCCAUUCCUUCUGCAGGGGCCAGUGUGAAUCCCCUGGUAGUGUCCUUGCAGGUGACGGGUCCCCGUUCAGGUGGAUUUGUCAGAGCAGCGAUGACCUGUGCCAGCAGCCUCACCAGUACAGCAAGACCGCCGUCCUUGUGCACGGAGACUCCGCUGUCCCGGGUUGCAGUGGAUACCACCUGCAGAUAAGAAAUGCUUAACUGAGAAAUGCUCGUGUUGGGAUGUCGUCGAUGAGACGUUAAUUUGGGCAUGGUGACUGUUUCCCUUGCUGCCACUUGACUCAACCCCAGGAGCCUCAGUAGAGGAAAUAAUUUUACCCAAGAAGCUCAAAAUGGUGGAAUUGCUCAGUGCUCCCAUAAAUACACAGUUAGCAUUUUUGUUUGCCACAUGGUAAAUUUUUAAAAAUAGGAUACAUUAAAAACUCUGCAUGAUUUUUUCCAAAAAUCUGAAGUAUAUUUAAAUAAUGAACUUAUAAAUUAAUUGCCUUCUUUUCUAAUUCUGUCCCCAUAGUUUUCCUCUAUUAACAAAACUGUGUGUAUUCUUUUAGUGAAUAGAAGCACACACACACACACGCACACACACACACACACACACACACACAUUAUCUGGGGGGGAAGGUGCUCUUAGUGGUGCCGUAUUGUAAUACAGUCUUCUUCAAAUUGCCUCUUCCAUCAAACAGUCUUCCCAAUGGCCUUUUUCUAUUUCAGUAAUACAUACACAUCUGUGUCAUUUGUUCAAUGACUGCAUGCCUGUUUUGUAGAUGAAACAUAAUUCAAAUGUUUUAAGCAUUUCUCAUUUAUAAAUAUUUAUGUUAGCACCAAAUUUCUGUGCAAUGAA
This is a long non-coding RNA of Tupaia belangeri chinensis (Chinese tree shrew), 1369 nucleotides long. RefSeq lists it as uncharacterized. The record is from RefSeq and is a predicted model, not a curated record. NCBI's taxonomy places the organism in Eukaryota, Metazoa, Chordata, Mammalia, Scandentia, Tupaiidae. The transcript has 5 exons.